ACACGACUCUCGGCAACGGAUAUCUCGGCUCUCGCAUCGAUGAAGAACGUAGCGAAAUGCGAUACCUGGUGUGAAUUGCAGAAUCCCGCGAACCAUCGAGUCCUUGAACGCAAGUUGCGCCCGAGGCCAUUCGGCCGAGGGCACGCCUGCCUGGGCGUCACGC
RNAcentral lists this ribosomal RNA (163 nucleotides) under Avena sativa (oats). RNAcentral's name for it is "5.8S ribosomal RNA". It matches the Rfam family "5.8S ribosomal RNA". Rfam says of the family: 5.8S ribosomal RNA (5.8S rRNA) is a component of the large subunit of the eukaryotic ribosome. The record is from RNAcentral. Lineage: Eukaryota; Viridiplantae; Streptophyta; Magnoliopsida; Poales; Poaceae.